This is a small nuclear RNA of Fukomys damarensis (Damara mole-rat), 98 nucleotides long. The record is from Ensembl. Lineage: Eukaryota; Metazoa; Chordata; Mammalia; Rodentia; Bathyergidae.
GUGCUCAUUUCAAAAGCACAUACAGUCAAAUUGGAACAACACAGAAAAGAUUAGCAUGGCCCCACACAAGGCUGACUCACUUUAUUGGUUUAAUUUCU